RNA transcript from Magallana angulata, 1659 nucleotides. It is a transcript of the gene named isocitrate dehydrogenase [NAD] subunit gamma, mitochondrial-like, with no coding region annotated. Lineage: Eukaryota; Metazoa; Mollusca; Bivalvia; Ostreida; Ostreidae. The record is from RefSeq and is a predicted model, not a curated record. The transcript has 16 exons.
AGUAAAAAUGAACCUCUCUAGAGUUUACGUCAAAAUUAGGCCAAGUUAAGGUCAAGGUGAAAACAAUGGCGGCGCCCAUGCAGCGUUCGAUGUUGAAGUUGCUGAGAUCAUCUUCUGCUGCUUUAAAAAGAUCUUUUAGCACAUCAAGGGUUGCUACAACUUCUUCCGUCAUACAGCAUAAAAAGUAUUCAACAGAACCCCACUUUAGUAAAUAUGGAGGAAGAACAACUGUGACAGCUCUAUCAGGGGAUGGAGUGGGACCAGAGCUCUUAUCCUAUGUUCAGGAAAUAUUCAGAUAUGCUGGAGUGCCUGUUGACUUUGAGGAGUUGGAGAUAAAUGGUAGUACUACUGAUGAAGAAACACUCCGCAGUGCUCUUCUCUCAGUCCAACGCAAUGGGAUAGCCCUGAAAGGAAAUAUUGAAAGUAAAUUUGAUGAACCAGGAUUCAAAUCUAUGAAUGUUGAAUUACGCACACAGUUGGAGCUGUUUGCCAGUAUUGUUUGGUGCAAGUCCAUCCCUGGGGUGUACACCAGACACCAGGGUCUGGACAUCAUCCUGAUCCGAGAGAACACGGAGGGAGAAUACUCAAACCUGGAAUACCAGAUUGUACCUGGCUGUAUAGAAAAUCUUAAAAUCAUAACAGAAGCAAAGUCUACAAAGAUUGCCAAGUACGCUUUUGAAUUUGCCAAGACACACGGGAGGAAGAAAGUCACUGCCAUUCACAAAGCAAACAUCAUGAAAUUAGGAGACGGACUGUUUUUGGAGUCCUGUAGGAAGGUGGCUAGUCAAUACCCAGACAUAGAAUUCAACGACAUGAUCGUGGACAACGCUAGUAUGCAGAUGGUGUCUAAGCCUCAGCAGUUUGACGUCCUGGUGAUGCCCAAUCUCUAUGGUAACAUCCUGAGUAACAUCACGGCCGGUUUGGUGGGAGGAUACGGGGUGGUGUCGGGGAUGAACAUCGGAGACGAUUACGCCGUGUUUGAAAUGGGAACAAGAAGUUCUGGUCGCAGUCUGAAGGGUAAGAACAUAGCUAACCCAACAGGGAUGCUACUCGCCAGCUGCGACAUGCUGGACUACAUCGGAUGCAACAAGCAUGCAGAGUUGAUCCGUGAUUCUGUGAUGAAGGUGAUGUCGGUGGAUAAGGUUCAGACCCCAGACCUGGGGGGUCAGGCUACCACCCUAGAAGUCAUCCAGGCCAUUAUUGAGGACAUUAAGCCAAAGACGUCCAGCUGGAGUACGACAGCGGCUCAAAAUGUAUACAGCCUACGAUGAUGAUGACAGUGGUCACUAUAGUUAAUUCAACUCUAGAGAGCUGCAUGCGUAGACCUAUAGAGAUGACAAAAAGAUGGCAGACGUUCAAGGAAUGAAGCAUCAAGGAGAGAAACAAAUAUAAAGAUGUAGAGAAAAUAACAAGAAAUCUAGUUGAAAAUUUUCCCCUCGAACAUUUAUUUAUUGAGCCCUAAUAGUACAAUAAUAUUGUACAUGUAUGUGUAUUGUGUACAUAUUGUGUACGUGUAACGCGUUCUUGAUUUUGACUUUUUAUGUGUGUACAUACAUUUUAUGUAAUAGUUUUAUGCCUUUAUCUGUUACAUGUUAGCAUAUUACAGAAGUGUUAAAUAAUUGUGUUGUGUCCGGAGAUUAAAUCUAAUAUUGACAGUUA